Molecule: long non-coding RNA, 1470 nt
Organism: Triticum urartu
Lineage: Eukaryota; Viridiplantae; Streptophyta; Magnoliopsida; Poales; Poaceae
Source: RefSeq, a predicted model, not a curated record
CCGGCCGGCCCCUCCCCGCCCGCCUGACUGCUGCCAACCAUGUCCGCACUCCGUCCGGCGUCUCGCACCGGCGGUCAGCAGACUCUGACCCCAUCGCCGCCGACCUCCUCUCCGCCUCCUCUCUCUCACCACGCUCUCCCUUGCCGCCUCGCUCCACUCCCUCCUCGCCGCGCGCGCCCUCCCACGCUCUUAUCCCCCGCCUCCCGACCCCCUCCGUGCGCCUCCUCUCCAGGCUUCUUUCGCGCCCCUGCUCUUCCCCCGCCCAGGCAGCCGGAUUCCUCCGCGCCGGUCACCUCUCCGUUCAACCCCCUCUUGGCCGCGCUCGCCCGCGUCCUCGACCUCCCUGGCACAACCCAGCUCUUUGCCGCCGUCGUCUGGUAUGGCAUACUCCCCAACGGGCUCUGCAAAGCCGGCGCGCUCAGGGCGCUCGAUGGAAUGCCCGGCCCAGACUCGCGCCUUCGUCCGGAUGUUGUCAUUCAUGCUGAACACGGUCGUGGAUGUGUGCAAGAGCGGGAGGAUUGGUGAUGCUCUUGACUUUUUCAAGGAGAAAAGAUCAGCUUGCCCUGAAGCCAGCGGCAAUGCCGUCACCUACAGCACUCUGCUUCCUCCACAAUAACAAUGUGUGGGCGUAUCCACCAUGGAUUAGGUUUGUUCCAUGAGAUGGUGGAUGAAGGGCUCUCACCAGAUGAAGUCAUGUAUUUUACCACGAUAUUGGGAUUGACACAAGCACGACGAUUGAAGGAGGCUUGGUGUCGUCGAUGGUGAAGGCAGGGUUUCAGCUGGAUGCAAAGGCGUACACUAUUCUGAUUGGCGGAUUUAGCAGGAGGAAGAGGUUACAGAGGCUUAUCAGUGGCUUGGUGUACACCUACAAUACCUUGUUGUCUGCUUUGUGCAAAGUAGGACAUUUCUCGGCUGUGGAUGAGUUAUUGGGGAAGAUGAUAGUUGUCGGCCGUCUGAGGACUGUACGAGGAUUGGUUAAGAUGACUCUUAUUUAAAUGCAGCGUCAACUGCACAUGAUGAAGAGCAAAUGCAGGUAGCAACAGUCGAUGGAUAUAAUUUUCUGUGGCAUCAAAAGUGAAUUAAUUCAGCGGCUGCCAGGUAGUAAACCAUUCAUACUGCAGCAAAGGUCCAAGUGUUGCCGGUGUUGCCCUUUUUUGUCAAUUGAUUACAGCCAUAUGCGCUGACUUGCUCCUGCAAGUUGUUUCUGCUAAUGCUGGAAGUGAGGUCCAUCACACCAAACCGUCGGAAAGAUUCUAUAAAGUUCAAAUUUACCAUGCAUGUUGAGUGAACAGGUGCAGAAUUGGACAAACAUAAAUAUAGCUAGUGAAUGGUACAUGUCUUAAAAGGAAAGGAGACCUCAUCCUCAUCCUGGUCGGCGAGGAUCUUGGAGCAGUUGAAGCAGACGCAGCGCAUGAUGGAGAGCACGGUCUUGAUGAAGCCGAUGUGGAACAUGGGCUUUGCGAGCUCGAG